This 79-nucleotide small RNA is filed under the name Nonlabens ulvanivorans. RNAcentral describes it as "Flavo-1 RNA". It matches the Rfam family "Flavo-1 RNA". Lineage: Bacteria; Pseudomonadati; Bacteroidota; Flavobacteriia; Flavobacteriales; Flavobacteriaceae. The record is from RNAcentral.
CAUUUGCGUUAGGGAUUGCAGUGAAAAUCCUUUUUACAAGGAACGAAUAAAAAGAUUGAAACGGAAAGCCCGACCUUUU